AAAGAGUUCUAUAACUCCCAAACCCAUGUGAACAUACCUAACGUUGCCUCGGCAGGUCGCACCUACCUUGUAGCACCCUACCCUGUAGGGCCUACCCGGGAGGUGCGGGUAAGCCUGCCGACGGCCCACCAAACUCUGUUUGAUAUUGAAUUCUGAACCUAUAACUAAAUAAGUUAAAACUUUCAACAACGGAUCUCUUGGUUCUGGCAUCGAUGAAGAACGCAGCGAAAUGCGAUAAGUAAUGUGAAUUGCAGAAUUCAGUGAAUCAUCGAAUCUUUGAACGCAUAUUGCGCCCAUUAGUAUUCUAGUGGGCAGGACCGUUCGAGCGUCAUUUCAACCCUUAAGCCUUCGUUGCUUAGUGUUGGGAGCCUACGGCAACGUAGCUCCUCAAAGUUAGUGGCGGAGUUGGUUCACACUCUAGACGUAGUAAUUUUUUAUCUCGCCUAUUAGUUGGACUAAUCCCCUGCCGUAAAACCCCCAAUUUAUCAAGGUUGACCUCGAAUCGGUUCAGACAAACUCGCUAAAUUGAAGCAUCUUAGUCAGCGAAGGAAAAGAAACCAACAGGGAUUGCCCUAGUAACGGCGAGUGAAGCGGCAACAGCUCAAAUUUGAAAUCUGGCCCUCGGGUCC
This 629-nucleotide ribosomal RNA is filed under the name fungal endophyte. RNAcentral's name for it is "eukaryotic LSU rRNA". The stretch from base 178 to 331 matches the Rfam family "5.8S ribosomal RNA". The record is from RNAcentral. Lineage: Eukaryota; Fungi.